ACAACAUCUGUUUGUCAUUCUUAAUUCGUUAAUCAAACAUCUAUCAUUAAAUAUCGGCGUGUACCUAUAGGACGAAAGAAAUUUAUGAAGUGUUUUCCAGUUAAUUCAGAUACACAAAGAUGUUUCACAUCAGAAAUUUUACAGAAGCUUCCAUUGAGUGAGUAGCGAAAGAUACACAAAGAUGUUUCACAUCAGAAAUUUUACAGAAGCUUCCAUUGAGUGAGUAGCGAAAGAUUAAUAGAGAUAUGAUUGGUUAAGGAACUACACGUGGUGGAUGUAUAUUUGAUAUAGAAUGUCUUAAAAAUAUAGGGCUUGUUACCGUGCAAGGUUAGUUACCUUAUGGGGUUAGUAAGGAGUUACUUACCUUCCAAAACAAAAAAAGAUGGCACAACCCUUUAU
Molecule: long non-coding RNA, 399 nt
Organism: Mytilus trossulus (common blue mussel)
Lineage: Eukaryota; Metazoa; Mollusca; Bivalvia; Mytilida; Mytilidae
Exons: 4
Source: RefSeq, a predicted model, not a curated record